This 369-nucleotide ribosomal RNA is filed under the name uncultured bacterium. RNAcentral describes it as "partial 16S ribosomal RNA". It matches the Rfam family "Bacterial small subunit ribosomal RNA", at positions 338 to 699 of the family's 1533-position model. The record is from RNAcentral.
CCUACGGGAGGCAGCAGUGGGGAAUAUUGCGCAAUGGGCGAAAGCCUGACGCAGCGACGCCGCGUGAGGGAUGAAGGUCUUCGGAUCGUAAACCUCUGUCAGCAGGGAAGAACGGUCACUGUGCUAAUCAGCAGUGAAUUGACGGUACCUGCAAAGGAAGCACCGGCUAACUCCGUGCCAGCAGCCGCGGUAAUACGGAGGGUGCGAGCGUUAAUCGGAAUUACUGGGCGUAAGGCGCUCGUUGGCGGUAUGUCAAGUCAAGGGUGAAAUCCCCGCGCUAAAGGUGGGAAGUGCCUUUGAUACUGGCAAGCUGGAGUGUGUGAGAGGAGAGAGGAAUUCGUGGUGUAGGGGUGAAAUCCGUAGAUAUCU